GUAGAGUUCAUAUUAAUUUAUUCCUUCAAUAAGUGUUUUAUGAAUGCAAACUUGACGAAAGUCACUGAACUAUGUGUUAAAGAUGAGAAAAGGAAAGUGUGAGAUCAAAGCCCUGCCCACCAAUGUCUUCUCCUCCAAUUAGAGAAAACUCAUAAUGCAAAAUUAUAUCUGAGGAACACAAGGGGUGUGACUGAGUGAAUGCUGUGGGUCUUAGAAUUCCAAGGCAGAAGAGCUAAUGAACACAUUAAAAAGAGGUGAGAUUUCAGUCAGCUUCUAAGAAGUGAGGGGAAUAGAGUCCAGAAUAAGCUUGGCGUCAGAAACGGGCUUUGUUUCAAAGUGGGAUUCCCAGCCCUGUAAAGAAGAAUGUCUAUCCUGGCAAGAAAUGCAUUAACAAGGCAGGAGGCAGUGUCACUGGUGGAGACGCUUGCAGGGGCCUGGGCAUGAACUUGGCAUCAUGAGGCUGAGGAGCAAGGGAGUUGUGAAGACAGUUAAGACACGCUCUUCCCUGAGUUAGAGACAAGGUCUCACUAUUCAGAAAGGUACAGACAUGGCACCGUGAUAAAAAGGGUCAUUUAAAAGGCUUCACAGAGGCUCUGUACUGUGAAGGAUUGAAUUCUCACUUGAAUGCCUACAUUUUCACAUCGUUUUCUUUGCAGAAAUAUUCCUUUUGAAUGGCAGACUGCAAUUGGGUAGGUUUUUUUUAAGUCACUGACCAGGAAUAUAUAAUAUUAGAAAGCACUUGUCCCGGAGGAAGAACACAGCUCACUGAGAGGUAUUCACAGCUUCACUCUGGAUCUAUGAAAAUAAAUGAUUGGCAGAGCAGGUACUCCACUCGGGGAUGCCAACUGAAUAGAAAUUAAAUGAACUGCUCAACCACAAGUGCCUGAGGAAUUGCAGAGAUUUCACUGGAAAAUACUGACAAUUAAUACUGGCGUCUGCCAUGUUCAGUGGCUGAAGAAACGGGGCUGUGCUCCAUCAAUUCAAAGGACAUCCUCAUAAUAAACAUACGGAAUGAGUGGGAGAAAAUGUCACCUGGCU
Long non-coding RNA from Rattus rattus (black rat), 1038 nucleotides. RefSeq lists it as uncharacterized. The transcript has 6 exons. The record is from RefSeq and is a predicted model, not a curated record. NCBI's taxonomy places the organism in Eukaryota, Metazoa, Chordata, Mammalia, Rodentia, Muridae.